Phanerochaete carnosa HHB-10118-sp is the source of this 81-nucleotide transfer RNA. It matches the Rfam family "tRNA". From Rfam's summary of the family: Transfer RNA (tRNA) molecules are approximately 80 nucleotides in length. Their secondary structure includes four short double-helical elements and three loops (D, anti-codon, and T loops). Lineage: Eukaryota; Fungi; Basidiomycota; Agaricomycetes; Polyporales; Phanerochaetaceae. The record is from Rfam.
GGCGCUAUAGUGUAGUGGCUAUCACUUGGGAUUCUGAUUACUAAAAUUCCCAAAACCCAGGUUCGAGCCCUGGUAGCGCCU